This 332-nucleotide ribosomal RNA is filed under the name uncultured bacterium. RNAcentral's name for it is "bacterial SSU rRNA". It matches the Rfam family "Bacterial small subunit ribosomal RNA", at positions 568 to 898 of the family's 1533-position model. The record is from RNAcentral.
CACGCAGGCGGUUUGGUAAGUCAGAGGUGAAAGCCCACAGCUUAACUGUGGCAUUGCCUUUGAUACUGCCUUUCUUGAGUACAGUAGGGGGAAGCGGAAUUCCGAGUGUAGAGGUGAAAUUCGUAGAUAUUCGGAGGAACACCGGUGGCGAAGGCGGCUUCCUGGACUGUAACUGACGCUCAUGUGCGAAAGCGUGGGGAGCAAACAGGAUUAGAUACCCUGGUAGUCCACGCCCUAAACGAUGGGCACUAGGUGUGGGAGGUAUCGACCCCUUCCGUGCCGCAGCUAACGCAUUAAGUGCCCCGCCUGGGGAGUACGGCCGCAAGGUUGAA